GAAAGCCUGACGCAGCAAAGCCGCGUGAGGGAUGAAGGCCUUCGGGUCGUAAACUAAAGUCAGAGGGGAAGAGGGGAAUUGUGGGAUAAGGGAAUGCAGGCCUGACGGUACCCUCAGAGGAAGCACCGCCUAACUCCGUGCCAGCAGCAGCGGUAAUACGGAGGGUGCGAGCAUUGUUGUUAAUUAUCAUUGGUAAAAAAGGGGCAGCAGGCGGCACAACUAUUAUGUGAAAAAACAGGGCUCAACAUCGGAAGGGCAUCGGAAGAAACGUAGCUGGAGUACGGCAGAGGGAAGCGGAAUUAUUACAGUAGGGGGGAAAAAAUUAGAUAUUAUGAAGAACAACAGUGAUGAAGAAGGCUUCCAUGAGCGCUAGUGACGAUGAGGCGAGAAAGAGGGGGGAGCAACCAACAUUAGAUACCACCGUAGUACUCC
RNAcentral lists this ribosomal RNA (432 nucleotides) under uncultured bacterium. RNAcentral describes it as "partial 16S ribosomal RNA". It matches the Rfam family "Bacterial small subunit ribosomal RNA", at positions 377 to 798 of the family's 1533-position model. The record is from RNAcentral.